GGUCUUGCUGUCACUUAUAGAUGGAUCCGCGCUGCAUUAGCUAGUUGGUAAGGUAACGGCUUACCAAGGCAACGAUGCAUAGCCGACCUGAGAGGGUGAUCGGCCACACUGGAACUGAGACACGGUCCAGACUCCUACGGGAGGCAGCAGUAGGGAAUCUUCCGCAAUGGGCGAAAGCCUGACGGAGCAACGCCGCGUGAGUGAUGAAGGUCUUCGGAUCGUAAAACUCUGUUAUUAGGGAAGAACAUAUGUGUAAGUAACUGUGCACAUCUUGACGGUACCUAAUCAGAAAGCCACGGCUAACUACGUGCCAGCAGCCGCGGUAAUACGUAGGUGGCAAGCGUUAUCCGGAAUUAUUGGGCGUAAAGCGCGCGUAGGCGGUUUUUUAAGUCUGAU
Molecule: ribosomal RNA, 396 nt
Filed under: Staphylococcus aureus
Lineage: Bacteria; Bacillati; Bacillota; Bacilli; Caryophanales; Staphylococcaceae
Description: bacterial SSU rRNA
Rfam family: Bacterial small subunit ribosomal RNA
Source: RNAcentral